This is a non-coding RNA of Perkinsus olseni, 73 nucleotides long. The record is from the annotation of a GenBank genome assembly. Lineage: Eukaryota; Perkinsozoa; Perkinsida; Perkinsidae.
GCCGGGAUAGUCUAGUGGUUAUGACGUCUGCCAUACACGCAGAAGGUCGCGAGUUCAAUCCUCGCUCUUGGUA